Molecule: regulatory RNA element, 416 nt
Organism: Idiomarina loihiensis L2TR
Lineage: Bacteria; Pseudomonadati; Pseudomonadota; Gammaproteobacteria; Alteromonadales; Idiomarinaceae
Rfam family: cspA thermoregulator
Source: Rfam
GACUCCACGGUGUCGGAUAGAAAGACAGUUAGUUAAAAGACUCCACUUCGUUGACCUAUUAUUAUUAAUACCAUCGUCCUGUAGUUCUAAGUUCUUAUUUUUACCCGCAUCAUCGGCCUAAAUGGCCACAUACUUAAAAGUUACAGGAAGAUAUAUUAUGUCAGAGAAAAUUACUGGUUCAGUAAAAUGGUUUAACGAAGCAAAAGGCUUCGGUUUCAUCGAACGUGAAAACGGCGCAGACGUUUUCGCACAUUUCAGCGCUAUUUCUAGCGACGGUUUCAAAACCUUAACUGAAGGCCAGCGCGUUGAGUUCGCAGUAACUCAAGGCCCUAAAGGUCCUCAGGCUGAGAACAUCGUAGCGCUGUAAUUACGCGCCUCGAAGUCUAAAAGGGCAACCCUCGGGUUGCCUUUUUUUG